AUUGAACGCUGGCGGCAUGCUUUACACAUGCAAGUCGAACGGUAACAGGCCUUCGGGUGCUGACGAGUGGCGAACGGGUGAGUAAUGCAUCGGAACGUACCCAGAGGUGGGGGAUAACGCAGCGAAAGCUGUGCUAAUACUGCAUGUGAUCUGAGGAUGAAAGCGGGGGACCGAGCAGCAAUGUUUGGCCUCGCGCCUUUGGAGCGGCCGAUGUCGGAUUAGCUAGUUGGUGGGGUAAAGGCCUACCAAGGCGACGAUCCGUAGCUGGUCUGAGAGGACGACCAGCCACACUGGGACCGAGACACGGCCCAGACUCCUACGGGAGGCAGCAGUGGGGAAUUUUGGACAAUGGGCGCAAGCCUGAUCCAGCAAUGCCGCGUGCGGGAAGAAGGCCUUCGGGUUGUAAACCGCUUUUGGCAGGAACGAAACGGUGUCCGCUAAUACCGGGCGCUAAUGACGGUACCUGCAGAAUAAGCACCGGCUAACUACGUG
Molecule: ribosomal RNA, 492 nt
Filed under: uncultured bacterium
Lineage: Bacteria
Description: partial 16S ribosomal RNA
Rfam family: Bacterial small subunit ribosomal RNA
Source: RNAcentral